Molecule: ribosomal RNA, 252 nt
Filed under: uncultured bacterium
Lineage: Bacteria
Description: partial 16S ribosomal RNA
Rfam family: Bacterial small subunit ribosomal RNA
Source: RNAcentral
UACGGAGGAUGCGAGCGUUAUCCGGAUUUAUUGGGUUUAAAGGGUGCGUAGGCGGACGCUUAAGUCAGCGGUAAAAUUGCGGGGCUCAACCUCGUCGAGCCGUUGAAACUGGGUGCCUUGAGUGGGCGAGAAGUACGCGGAAUGCGUGGUGUAGCGGUGAAAUGCAUAGGUAUCACGCAGAACUCCGAUUGCGAAGGCAGCGUACCGGCAUCCAACUGACGCUGAGGCACGAAAGCGUGGGGAUCAAACAGG